GCUACCAUGCAGUCGAGGGGUAGGGUUACUUCGGUAAUCUGAGACCCCCGCACGGGUGCGUAACGCGUAUGCAAUCUACCUUUUACUAUGGGAUAGCCCAGAGAAAUUUGGAUUAAUACCAUAUAGUAUAUUUGAAUGGCAUCGUUUGAAUAUUAAAGAUUUAUCGGUAAAAGAUGAGCAUGCGUCCCAUUAGUUAGUUGGUGUGGUAACGGCAUACCAAGACGAUGAUGGGUAGGGGUCCUGAGAGGGAGAUCCCCCACACUGGUACUGAGACACGGACCAGACUCCUACGGGAGGCAGCAGUAAGGAAUAUUGGUCAAUGGAGGCAACUCUGAACCAGCCAUGCCGCGUGCAGGAUGACGGUCCUAUGGAUUGUAAACUGCUUUUGUACGGGAAUAAAACAAACUACGAGUAGUUAAUUGACGGUACCGUAAGAAUAAGGAUCGGCUAACUCCGUGCCAGCAGCCGCGGUAAUACGGAGGAUCCAAGCGUUAUCCGGAAUCAUUGGGUUUAAAGGGUCCGUAGGCGGCCUUAUAAGUCAGUGGUGAAAGUUUUUGGCUUAACUAAAAUUGCCAUUGAUACUGUUCGGCUUGAAUAUCUGUGAAGUAACUAGAAUAUGUAGUGUAGCGGUGAAAUGCUUAGAUAUUACAUGGAAUACCGAUUGCGAAGGCAGGUUACUAACAGAUGAUUGACGCUGAUGGACGAAAGCGUGGGUAGCGAACAGGAUUAGAUACCCUGGUAGUCCACGCCGUAAACGAUGGAUACUAGCUGUUUGGUUUUCGGACUGAGUGGCUAAGCGAAAGUGAUAAGUAUCCCACCUGGGGAGUACGGUCGCAAGACUGAAACUCAAAGGAAUUGACGGGGGCCCGCACAAGCAGUGGGGCAUGUGGUUUAAUUCGAUGAUACGCGAGGAACCUUACCAGGGCUUAAAUGUAGAUUGACAGAUUUGGAAGCAGAUUUUUCUUCGGACAAUUUACAAGGUGCUGCAUGGUUGUCGUCAGCUCGUGCCGUGAGGUGUCAGGUUAAGUCCUAUAACGAGCGCAACCCCUGUUGUUAGUUGCCAGCACGUAAUGGUGGGAACUCUAGCAAGACUGCCAGUGUAACUGUGAGGAAGGCGGGGAUGACGUCAAUCAUCACGGCCCUUACGUCCUGGGCCACCACGUGCUACAAUGGCCGGUACAAAAGCAGCCCUUGGCGACAAGGACGAAUCUAAAAGCCGGUCGAGUUCGGAUCGGAGUCUGCACUCCAUCCGGAAGCUGAAUCCUAGUAUCG
Molecule: ribosomal RNA, 1272 nt
Filed under: uncultured Flavobacteriia bacterium
Lineage: Bacteria; Pseudomonadati; Bacteroidota; Flavobacteriia
Description: bacterial SSU rRNA
Rfam family: Bacterial small subunit ribosomal RNA
Source: RNAcentral